Molecule: long non-coding RNA, 5318 nt
Filed under: Homo sapiens (human)
Lineage: Eukaryota; Metazoa; Chordata; Mammalia; Primates; Hominidae
Description: HSALNT0328456
Source: RNAcentral
UUAAAAUAUUUUACUAGAUUGUAUUUAUGGUUAACAGUAUCUUGCACUACAAUUUAUAUUUAGAUAAUCAUUCAUUUUAAAAUUAUUUAUUGAGCACCUACUAUGUGUUAGGUAUUAGGUACAGAGCAAUGAAUACAGCAAGCACAGUUCCUCACCUCGUGGACCUGACACUGUAGUGUGAGAGAUAAUAAGCAAAUGAUAUAAGGCCAUGCAGUAGUUAAAUGCUAUGAAGAAACAUAAAAUCUGGUACAGGGACAGAGAGUAGGGAGGGAGCUCUUGUUAUAAAGGGUGGCCAGGAAAGACCAAGUUGUGUAGCAGAGGCCUGAAGGAAGCCAGGGACCAAGCCAUAUGAAUUUUCUCAGAUAGGUGUAUUCUAGUUAUAGAGAACAGCAACUGGAACGGUCCUGAGAAGGGAACAUUCCUGGAACAUUCAAGAACUAGCCAAGAGAUCAGCAAGUCUAUAGUAAAAAGAAACAUAGUAGAUAGUCAUCUAGUGUUUUCUUCUCUUCCUUCCUAUUAUCUCUCAUACCAUGUCAUGUUACUUUUCUAAAGGAUCUCAAUGGGGAAGAGAACAUCAUUGUCUUUAAGAUUCAAUUUUUUGUGUAUUGAAAGUCUUCAUGGUCAUUCUUUUGAGAUCAUGACCUACUACAACGUCCCCAGGCCUGCAUCCUCCACAGGCUCCAUGAGCAGAAAAGCAGACGAAUAGAAGAGCAGAGGAACAGAAGAAUAGCAGUGUGGCCGAGCAGCGUGGUAGAGAAAGAGGGAAGAGAAGCAGCAUCUGAAUGUUGAGAGGAGUUUGGCUGGGGACAGUCGGAGAGGAGAUUGGCCGCAGGACGACCCAACUCCAGGGGAGGAACAUCUUCCUACUCCAUUCGCUUCCCCACUCCCCAGCCAUUCCACUGAGAGCCACCUCCAUCUGGCAAUAAAAUCUCUUGCAUUCACUAUCCUUCAAUUUGCCUGUGUGACCUGAUUCUUCCUGGAUGCUGGACAAGAACCCAGCAUCCAGGUACCAAGAGGGCACUGGGCUGGAUAACACUUGAGCUGUCUGUGGACGGCAGAGCUAAAAGAGCACUGUAACAUGCCCACUGGGGCUUUGGGAGUUGCAGGCACCCACCCUGGAUGCUACUACCAUGGGGCUGGAGCCCAAAAGUGUUUGCCCCGCCUCCUGCACCUGCCCGUCUGCAUGCUCCCCCUCCAGUAAGGGGUUUGAGUGCACAGAGGCUGAACAGAUGAGCCACACCCCUGUCACACAUCCUGUGAAGGGGGUUAGGAAACUCUCCCAUUUCAUCUUGACCAUCUUUGAGGGACUAUUGAUGCUUUUGGUAUCAGCAGCCACAGAAUUCAUCAGACACAGCACAAAAGAGCAGGAGAAGAGAUAAUGGCAGAUGCCAGAAGGUUGUCCAGCUGGUUACUACCUCUCCUCUUCACCUGAUUAUACCUGAUUACUGCUGACUCGAUGGGCAGGGAGAGUCGCUGACUCCUGACAGAAAGACUCUGUCACCCCUUGCCAUUUAUUUUAGAUCCUGUGAAUCCUACUGUCAAUGUUGUGACACCUGCAAUGCCUGGGAUGAAGCUGCCCAUGUGGUGAGAUGCAGCCUGUGGAAGCCUCUUUUCAGUGGAGUGAGAGCCAAGCCCCCUUGGCUUUUCAUAGACAAUUGGUGAACGGGACAAGGAGACACUGUCCUUGGAUGUCUGAAAAAAAAAGAAAAAGGUUGCAAAACAUGUUGCCAAUAAGAAUGUUGUAGAUGAAAGGCAGGAUGAAGGAAAGUGGUCUUAAUUUAAAUUCUCUAUUUUACUAAACCUACUCUUUAACAAAUAUGUUUAUGUGAGGCAUCAGAAGCAAAUGUAUUUUGGCUUUUAAGAGAAUUAAAAUUGUUUCCCCUAUUUUUUUAUUUGUUUGCUUUGGUGGCUUUGUGACCAAAAAAAUUGUUUUAAUCCAAAUAGCCACAAUAAAUAAAUAAGCAAAUGAAUAAAAUUCCCAGGUCAUUUGAGAGAAAAGAUUAACUGAAAAGGUAAAGCAUCUCCCCCUUUUUAGUUUCAGUUAAUUAUAGUGUCAGGAUGACUUUUUAACUUACCUGGCAAUCUGGAACCUCAUAGAGUCACUUGCGUUUUCAAAAUUUCCAUGUGAAAACAUGAUUGUGCCAAGUACUCCCUAUUAACUUUUAGACAUCAUCUAUAAAAUCACUACAGGAAAAUAUGGAAAUAUCUGAGAGAUACACAGUGGAUCGCCUCAGAAUAAAUCGUUCCCCAAAUCAUUUUAUGACUGCCUGAGUCGGGACUCAUGGGUCAGAGUAGAGUCAUAGUUAAGGUUUGCAACUGGCUUAGUAGCAAGAGGGGAUAAACAAACUAUCCAGGCUGUUGAACUGUCCAGUUUCGCUACAACUGUAUUUACUUGUUGGGAUCAACUGUUUUCUUUCCUAUUAAGGUAUUAGUAGCCACUGAUAAUGGAAGCCAGGGCCCGCUAGAAAUAGACCAGAGGAAAUUUCCUGACUCACUUGCAUAACAACAGUUCAUCAGCACUGAAGAUAUAUGAAGUGUGACUGCAGAGUAAUGGGAGUGAUUAGGUUUCUCUGCACAACAAAACUCUUACAUACAAAUGAGCACUGUCCCCUUCAGGACAGUCCUCAGGGAACCCGUAUGCUUAUUCCGGUGUGUGAUUGGUCUGGAAGCAUUUUUGGAUGCCCUCUGGACAGAAAGUGCUUUUGGACACUGUUAGUGGUGACAAAGUGUGUCCUUUGAGGAUGGAUUAGAUUGUUGGAAAUGAUACAAUGUAUUCACAGUAUACAUCUGUUGUUUUUGUCUACCCAGAAGCCUCUGUCCAAACUUGUGGUUGGAGAGGCUGUAUUUCUUCUGUCGUUCAUUCUGUCUUUGAAGGCUCUCGAGGAGAAAAUAGCUUUUAAUAUCUCUUGGGAAAUGGCCACAUUUUCCCCUGGCAAUUGAACCCAUGGCUUUCUUGAAUGACUACUCCUCAACCAGGUCUAAGUUGUUUAGGUAGGCUGACUUGACCACCAGUUCCAGAGCACAGACAUGUGACGAGCCUGGCCAUAGUCAUUGAUUCAGGGAUGGACACAUGACUGAAACGGCAUGCUGGCAUUUAGUUCUGGUACUUGGAUUUUAACUGUUGGGAGGAGAAUUUCUCACUCUGCUAUGAUAUAAGCAUGAAGCUACUGGCUUCCACUUGCUGCUACAAAGAGCCUGCUUAAAAAUGGAGCCAACAUAAAAGGAAGCAGAUUUAAGACCUGAGCGAUGAGAGCGUGCACAUGUGUGUAUAUCCACAUAAUGAGACUAAGUCUUGAUUUCUGCACCUUGAUCCAGAUAUACCUGGAGCAGAAACUCUGCUGGGACUCUUUUGUAUCAUGAGCCAGUAACCUCCCUAUUUGCCUAGUAGGUUGAUUUGGGCUUCAAUCUUGCAACCAAGUGAGUCCUGACUAAACCAGCAGAAUGGAGCCAGGUAAGGUUCUUUCUCAAGAAGAGAAGAAGGAAGGUAUCAAGACGUUUAUGACAAAUUUCUACUCAACACUGAGCACCUGCUAAGUGCUGGGCCUAAUAGUCGAGAUGCUGCAAUGAACUAGUCCAUUCAGGAUGCUGAGGUGUUUCAGCCUAGAAGAGACUGCUUUUCUUCCUUUGCUCAUGCAGACUCAGGGGGCCAUUCUCAAGGAGGAGUUAGUGACAGGAAUGUCUUUGGCAAAGACAGCACUCUUGAGUGUGGUCAGAACAUGUUAUUUAUUUCCCAAGAUGAUUAGUUUUUGAAGAAGACAACAAAUAGUUGAGGCUAUGAAUUCUAUCUCUGUAAAAAUAGAGUUAUGUUUUCCUCCUGUAGUCAGAUCUCCUGUGGAACGUGAGUAAACAGGAAUUUCUAUGUAUGGAGCAAGGACAGUAUGGUUAGCACAUAAUACAUGUGUUUAUUUCAGAGCUGGGGAGGACUCCUGACCAGCGUGACACCUAACAUUGGAGUGAAGGGGCAGCAGACCUCUCCAGCCACGUGAAACGGAAUGGGAAAUACUCUUCUCCUACCACCAACUUGGCCACUCUCCAGUGACGAGGUUUCAGAAGCAGUGCAUUUUCAAGUUUCUGCCUCAGAAGAGAUCCAGUUUGGCAUUCUGUCUAAGUUCACUGCACAGAGACGGGUUUGGCUCUGUGAUUCAUCAGAAAUAAGAAAAACAAACACUGUAAAUGGAGAACUUGAAAAAGAGGUGGGCACCAUCUCCCCACCCAAGAGAAUGGAUUUAAGAGGAAAUUUGUUUAUGGGAUGAAGUUUUAAAAGGCGACCUGGAAAAUUUAGCAAAGAUGUAAAUAAACAACUCUUCCUUGGAUUGCAUUAGGCUUCAGAAUAAAUAUAUUAACCAGCUUCAGUCAAAGUCUGCCUAGAAUCUGACCCUGACAAGACCCAGUGACUAGUGCUGCUCCGAACCUUCCCCACCAACAGCAGGCAAUUUUCUCUGUGGCAAAGCUACCUCGAAACAGGCAUCCAGGCUUCCCUCCCACGAAGUGAAGAUGAGAAAACUGAGUCUCAGAAUGGACAAGCUCACAGAUGGCAAGUGGUAGAGCAGACUUCACACAUAGCCAUCUGAGUGAGAUGGGAAGCUGAUCCUCCAGCCCUGAUCAAGCCUUCAAAUGACUGCACCUCCAGCUGACAGAUUACCAAAAGCAACCUCCUUCCAGAAGACCUUGAGCCAAAACCACUCAGCUAAGCUACUUCCAGAUCCCUGAUCCUCGGAAACUGUGCGAGACAAUAAAUGUUUAAAUGGCCACCCACUUUGGAAUAAAGAGGACAUAUAAUUUGCCUAAGGUCACAUAGCACUCUCUAAAUCAGUACAGUAUUUUAGACAAAGCUUCAACUUUGCACUUUUAUGGGUCAUUUUGAUAUAAGACUACAAGGAUAUCUCCUCCCAUGACAAACUUGACUUCAUUUACAACAAAAGGCCAAGCAAGAUACAGUACACUGUGGGGAUAAAUGGUACUCACUGAGGACAGGAAUAUGCUGACAUUAUCUCAAUUUCCUCCUCCCUCCUGUUGUUCUCCUUUGGAUGCUUUCCUGGACUAUAGGGAGAAGGAAAAUAGAGAAAGGCCAACUGCGACUAGGCCAGAGAUCAGAUGUUACCUUGUAGGAAGCAUCUCAUUCUAACCUUAAGUACUCUCUUGAUGAAGUACGGGGCCAAGAGAUUUUGGAAUUCUACCACACAAGGUUGCUCAGCAUUCCAAGAAGUAUUGAUAACUCUUCAAGAGCAAAAGUCAUUUAAAUUAAACUUCUCUGGCCGGGCAUGGUAGCUCAUAUCUGUAAACCCAGCACUUUGGGAGGCUGAGGCUGGAAGAUCACU